UACAGAGGGUGCAAGCGUUAAUCGGAAUUACUGGGCGUAAAGCGCACGUAGGCGGAUAAGUAAGUUGCAUGUGAAAUCCCCGGGCUCAACCUGGGAACUGCAUUCAAAACUGCUUGUCUAGAGUAUGGUAGAGGGGAGUGGAAUUUCCGGUGUAGCAGUGAAAUGCGUAGAUAUCGGAAGGAACACCAGUGGCGAAGGCGACUCCCUGGACCAAUACUGACGCUCAGGUGCGAAAGCGUGGGGAGCAAACAGG
This 253-nucleotide ribosomal RNA is filed under the name uncultured bacterium. Its description in RNAcentral is "partial 16S ribosomal RNA". It matches the Rfam family "Bacterial small subunit ribosomal RNA", at positions 524 to 776 of the family's 1533-position model. The record is from RNAcentral.